RNAcentral lists this ribosomal RNA (464 nucleotides) under uncultured bacterium. Its description in RNAcentral is "partial 16S ribosomal RNA". It matches the Rfam family "Bacterial small subunit ribosomal RNA", at positions 28 to 505 of the family's 1533-position model. The record is from RNAcentral.
GAUGAACGCUGGCGGCGUGCUUAACACAUGCAAGUCGAACGAUGAAGCCCAGCUUGCUGGGUGGAUUAGUGGCGAACGGGUGAGUAACACGUGAGUAACCUGCCCUUAACUCUGGGAUAAGCCUGGGAAACUGGGUCUAAUACCGGAUAGGAGCGUCCACCGCAUGGUGGGUGUUGGAAAGAUUUAUCGGUUUUGGAUGGACUCGCGGCCUAUCAGCUUGUUGGUGAGGUAAUGGCUCACCAAGGCGACGACGGGUAGCCGGCCUGAGAGGGUGACCGGCCACACUGGGACUGAGACACGGCCCAGACUCCUACGGGAGGCAGCAGUGGGGAAUAUUGCACAAUGGGCGCAAGCCUGAUGCAGCGACGCCGCGUGAGGGAUGACGGCCUUCGGGUUGUAAACCUCUUUCAGUAGGGAAGAAGCGAAAGUGACGGUACCUGCAGAAGAAGCACCGGCUAACUACG